AUGGACGGGACGGCUCCAGGAGAGCUCCCACAUCUGCCAGCUCUGCUCUCGCAGCCCUGCACCGGGGAACGGAGCUGGGGCACCCCUGUGCCAGCCCAGCUCGGCCCAACCCAGCCCAGCCCGGCCCAGCCCGGCCCGGCCCAGCCCGGCCUUUCUCAGGGGGGGGGGGGGGGGGGGGGGGGGGGGGGGGGAGGUGCUGCCCGGCCCCGCCACCGCCUGCAGCAAAAGCAGCUCUGUGCGGACAGCCCGGCUCAGCCAGGCUCGGCACCAGCCUCACCCCUGCCCCGGACUCGCCAAGGCAAGAGCUGGCCCGGCAGGAUGGGACGAGUCUCCCCUCGCUCCUGCAAGCGGCUGCUGAGCUCCUGUCGCGGGGCUGUACCAUGGAAAUACCCCGGGGCUGUGCCACGGAAAUGCCCCAGAGCUGUGCCACUGAAAUACCCCAGGACUGUGGCACAGAAAUACCCCAGAGCUGUGCCACGGAAAUACCCCGGGGCUGUGCCACGGAAAUGCCCCAAAGCUGUGCCACAGAAAUACCCCAGAGCUGUGCCAUGGAAAUACCCCAGAGCUGUGCCAUGGAAAUACCCCAGGACUGUGGCACAGAAAUACCCCAGAGCUGUGCCACUGAAAUACCCCAGGACUGUGGCACAGAAAUACCCCAGAGCUGUGCCACUGAAAUACCCCAGGACUGUGGCACAGAAAUACCCCAGAGCUGUGCCACUGAAAUACCCCAGGACUGUGGCACAGAAAUACCCCAGAGCUGUGCCACUGAAAUACCCCAGGACUGUGGCACAGAAAUACCCCAGAGCUGUGCCACUGAAAUACCCCAGGACUGUGGCACAGAAAUACCCCAGAGCUGUGCCACUGAAAUACCCCAGGACUGUGGCACAGAAAUACCCCAGAGCUGUGCCACUGAAAUACCCCAGGACUGUGGCACAGAAAUACCCCAGAGCUGUGCCACUGAAAUACGCUGUGCCCACUGGGCCAUCCCUGGGCUGUGCCUACAAAAACGUUCUUUGUGGGUCUCCAGUCGCCCCUUGGGAUUUUGGGGGAGCUCCUAUCCCGGGCAGGCUCAUCCCUCCCCCCAGAGGACCCCAACCCUUCCCAAGGCAGCUCCAGCUGCCCCCGCUCCGCCUCCGAGCACACCGGGACCCGCCCUGGAUGGCACCGCCCUUCACUUUCGCCUCUCCAGGUGACUCAGGCUCGCUCCCAUCUUUGAUGUGGGGAGGAACAAAGCGAGGAGGAGCCGCGCUCCCACCUCUGCCCGGCUUUUUGCUGAGGUGGCAGCAGCCCAGGGCUCGGGUCCCGGCGGUGCCGCCGAGGGGAACACUCACAUGUCACAGCUUCGGGAGCGCCGCAGAGCUCGGCCCGGGGGGCUUUGGUCAGCGCCGCUGGGGAUUUCUCGUCUUCCAGGGUUUUCUCCUUCUUGGGCACCGCGGGGCGGGCGAGUGGCAGCGCUGGGAUUUGCCUCGGGGGAGGCAGCGAGGGCUCAGCCACCUCUGCAAGAGAAACAGGGUUAGAGCCGAGCCCCCCGACUCACCCGGACCCCCAGACACCGCCCCGAGCUCUGAUUCCCGAGCUCUGACUCCCCAGCUCAUCCCUGGAGCACACUGGGCACCGCGGGGGAUUCGGGCUGCAUCACUCCGCAGCUGCUCACCCCGCUGCAGCUCCAUCCCAAAAACCCUCCCGGGCUCUCACAUUCCUUCUCCAAAAAGCCAAGGGAUCUGGUUACACUCAGCAGCUCAAGCUGGAUUUUUCAUCCCCCUUCCCAUGAAAGGGCCACUGUCUUCCCAGCGGGAGCUGGCUGCCACCUUCCCUCUCCAUCCCAGGGGAAUGUGGGGUGCCUGCUCCAUCCCAUGGGGAAUGUGGGGGGGGGGGGGGGGGGGGGGGGGGGGGGGGGGGGGGGGGGGGGGGGGGGGGGGGGGGGGGGGGGGGGGGGGGGGGGGGGGGGGGGGGGGGGGGGGGGGGGGGGGGGGGGGGGGGGGGGGGGGGGGGGGGGGGGGGGGGGGGGGGGGGGGGGGGGGGGGGGGGGGGGGGGGGGGGGGGGGGGGGAAUGUGGGGUGCCUGCUCCAUCCUACAGGGAAUGUGGGGUGCCUCCUCCAUCCCAUAGGGAAUGUGGGGUGUCUGCUCCAUCCUAUAGGGAAUGUGGGGUGCCUGCUCCAUCCCAUGGGAAUGUGGGGUGUCUGCUCCAUCCCAGGGGAAUGUGGGGUCCGUGCUCCAUCCUACAGGGAAUGUGGGGUGCCCAGGGGGGCUCGGUGUGACGCCACACUCCCCCAGCCCCUCCCUCUGCCCAUCCCCCGGAAUAGCAAUGUCUUGCACAACAGGGCUGGAGAGCACUUUAUAUAAAACUAAAUUAUAGGCUGGGCAGAGGGAGGGAGAGCAGAGCCAUAAUUGGCCUGGCUGCAACAGGAGCCCUGCCAGGGAGGGGAGGGGAAGGGGAAAAGGGACCUGGGACACUUCAUUAUCCUCGAUAAAACCAGGAUCCCACACACCAGAGCCGAGGAGGAAGGAGGGCAAUUAGGGAUAAUUAAAAGGAGUAUAAUCAAGGAAGUUGGGGUGUUCCAGCAGCACCCCGGGAUCAGCAGGAGCCUGGAAAUGCUGCAGAGGGACUGCAGCCGGUCUGGAGUGAUGCAGCUCCACAACAUCCCCUAAAGUCAUCCACGUGCCUCAGUUUCCCCUCUGUGCCCUCCCCAGGGUGCUGCAGCUCCUGAGGCAGGGGAGGAAAACUCAUCCCAGCACAGACCCCUGCUCACAGUGAGGCGAUUUUGGGGCUCAGCCAAGGGAAAUCCAGCAGCUGCAGCUGAAUUUUGCACACGAGCAUUGGCUCCAAAUCCCGGUGCAGUGAGAGCACGUGAGCCCCAGAGAGAGAAAAGCCAUUCCCGUGGAAAGCCCGGGGCAAAACGGAGAGGUGAGGAGAGCAGGCUGUCAUCUCCUCAUGGGUGUAGAGGUGUGGGGGUGAAUAACAAUCCACACAUCGCUGAAUGCACAGCCUGUGUCAUGUCCCAACCUGGACUGGCCCGAGUCAGCCCUGACGCAGAGCCAGACAUGAAAUCCUGAGGGGUGAGGAGCUCUGAGGUGUCCCUGGGAAGGAACCAGAGCUCUGGUUUCUGCUGUGAGAUCCCAGAGUGUGUUCAGGGCUUCAAACCCCCCAGAACAGCCACAUCACCCUCAAACCCCCUUCCUGCAGAUCAGUGCUUGGGACAAAGAGCUGGAAAAUCAGGUGCAGCAGCAGGAGAAGGGCUGGCACAGCAGAUCCCUGUCCCUGUCCCUGUCCCUGUCCCUGUCCCUGUCCCUGUCCCUGUCCCUGUCCCUGUCCCUGUCCCUCUGUGCUGCCUCCAGAGCAUCCCUCACCACUCUGUGCCCAUUCCUGGGGACAAGGACGGGCUGGAGCUCUGUGGGAGCUGGCUGGGACAUCCAGGGAGCUGCUCUGACCAGGAUGGAGCCCAGCUCGUCCCUGUCCCGACUGGGAUGGAGCCCAGCUCGUCGCUGCCCCUGUCCCGACUGGGAUGGAGCCCAGCUCGUCCCUGCCGUGUCGACUUCACACCUGUAAUUACCCCGCACAAGGGCUCACACACAACCACAGCCACGCGGAGAGGAA
RNAcentral lists this long non-coding RNA (3595 nucleotides) under Ficedula albicollis (Collared flycatcher). RNAcentral's name for it is "lncRNA (ENSFALG00000023329.1)". The record is from RNAcentral. Lineage: Eukaryota; Metazoa; Chordata; Aves; Passeriformes; Muscicapidae.